RNAcentral lists this ribosomal RNA (789 nucleotides) under uncultured Macrococcus sp. RNAcentral's name for it is "bacterial SSU rRNA". It matches the Rfam family "Bacterial small subunit ribosomal RNA", at positions 56 to 825 of the family's 1533-position model. The record is from RNAcentral. Lineage: Bacteria; Bacillati; Bacillota; Bacilli; Caryophanales; Staphylococcaceae.
UGCAAGUCGAGCGAACGGACGAGGGUGCUUGCACUCUCUGAUGUUAGCGGCGGACGGGUGAGUAACACGUGGGUAACCUACCUAUAAGACUGGGAUAACUUCGGGAAACCGGAGCUAAUACCGGAUAAUAUUUAGCUUCGCAUGAAGCAAUAGUGAAAGACGGUUCUGCUGUCACUUAUAGAUGGACCCGCGGUGUAUUAGCUAGUUGGUGAGGUAACGGCUCACCAAGGCAACGAUACAUAGCCGACCUGAGAGGGUGAUCGGCCACACUGGGACUGAGACACGGCCCAGACUCCUACGGGAGGCAGCAGUAGGGAAUCUUCCGCAAUGGACGAAAGUCUGACGGAGCAACGCCGCGUGAGUGAAGAAGGUUUUCGGAUCGUAAAACUCUGUUGUAAGGGAAGAACAAGUACGUUAGUAACUGAACGUACCUUGACGGUACCUUACCAGAAAGCCACGGCUAACUACCUGCCAGCAGCCGCGGUAAUACGUAGGUGGCAAGCGUUAUUCGGAAUUAUUGGGCGUAAAGCGCGCGUAGGCGGUCUCUUAAGUCUGAUGUGAAAGCCCCCGGCUCAACCGGGGAGGGUCAUUGGAAACUGGGAGACUUGAGUGCAGAAGAGGAGAGUGGAAUUCCAUGUGUAGCGGUGAAAUGCGCAGAGAUAUGGAGGAACACCAGUGGCGAAGGCGGCUCUCUGGUCUGUAACUGACGCUGAGGUGCGAAAGCGUGGGGAUCAAACAGGAUUAGAUACCCUGGUAGUCCACGCCGUAAACGAUGAGUGCUAAGUGUUG